This is a non-coding RNA of Canis lupus familiaris (dog), 98 nucleotides long. NCBI's taxonomy places the organism in Eukaryota, Metazoa, Chordata, Mammalia, Carnivora, Canidae. The record is from Rfam.
AGGAGGAACAACCCCAGUGGUUGCUGCAGCUCUGGAAACCUGGAUUCAGCUCCCGCAGGAACUAUUCUGUCUGCAGGGCCUGGAGGCUCCGGGGUGGG